UACUGAGUGGCAGACGGGUGAGUAUAAUGUGGGAAUCUGCCUUUUGGUUUGGAAUAACACGGGGAAACUUGUGCUAAUACCGAAUAAGCCCUUACGGGGAAAGUUUUAACGCCGAAAGAUGAGCCUGCACUUGAUUAGCUAGUUGGUAAGGUAAAGGCUUACCAAGGCAACGAUCAAUAGCUGUUCUUAGAGGAAGACCAGCCACAUUGGGACUGAGACACGGCCCAGACUCCUACGGGAGGCAGCAGUGGGGAAUCUUGCACAAUGGGGGAAACCCUGAUGCAGCGAUGCCGCGUGAGUGAAGAAGGCCUUUGGGUUGUAAAACUCUUUCGUCGGGGAAGAAAAUGACUGUACCCGAAUAAGAAGGUCCGGCUAACUUCGUGCCAGCAGCCGCGGUAAUACGAAGGGACCUAGCGUAGUUCGGAAUUACUGGGCUUAAAGAGCUCGU
This 448-nucleotide ribosomal RNA is filed under the name uncultured Alphaproteobacteria bacterium. RNAcentral's name for it is "bacterial SSU rRNA". It matches the Rfam family "Bacterial small subunit ribosomal RNA", at positions 89 to 572 of the family's 1533-position model. The record is from RNAcentral. Lineage: Bacteria; Pseudomonadati; Pseudomonadota; Alphaproteobacteria.